CGCGUAGGUGGGUCUUCAAGUCAAAUGUGAAAACCGACGGCUUAACCAUCGGCCUGCAUUUGAUACUGUCGAUCUUGAGUACGGGAGAGGAAAGCGGAAUUCCUGGUGUAGCGGUGAAAUGCGUAGAUAUCAGGAGGAACACCGGUGGCGAAGGCGGCUUUCUGGCCCGAUACUGACACUGAGGCGCGAAGGCCGGGGGAGCAAACA
RNAcentral lists this ribosomal RNA (207 nucleotides) under uncultured bacterium. RNAcentral's name for it is "partial 16S ribosomal RNA". It matches the Rfam family "Bacterial small subunit ribosomal RNA", at positions 568 to 774 of the family's 1533-position model. The record is from RNAcentral.